UACAGAGGGGGCAAGCGUUAAUCGGAAUUACUGGGCGUAAAGCGCGCGUAGGUGGUUCGUUAAGUUGGAUGUGAAAUCCCCGGGCUCAACCUGGGAACUGCAUUCAAAACUGUCGAGCUAGAGUAUGGUAGAGGGUGGUGGAAUUUCCUGUGUAGCGGUGAAAUGCGUAGAUAUAGGAAGGAACACCAGUGGCGAAGGCGACCACCUGGACUGAUACUGACACUGAGGUGCGAAAGCGUGGGGAGCAAACAGG
This 253-nucleotide ribosomal RNA is filed under the name uncultured bacterium. Its description in RNAcentral is "partial 16S ribosomal RNA". It matches the Rfam family "Bacterial small subunit ribosomal RNA", at positions 524 to 776 of the family's 1533-position model. The record is from RNAcentral.